GUUCCCAUGACACCCAUGGACUUUGAAGUGACCAAAAAAAAAUCUUCUCAAAGAACACCUAAUCUUUGGGACCGAUCCAAGUGCCACAGUGUCUAUGCAAUUCACAAAGGCCACUUGGAAUAUCUGAGAGAGUUAGGUGUGUCUGUGAAGUCCGUCACAGCUCUCGACUAGCUAAAUAAGUGUUAAAGGAGUUGUUUUACAUUUUCAGUAAUUGAUAAAAGAGAAGUAAAUCUGCUUUUUUUUUGGGCCACACCUUUAGACAUGUUAUUUUGUGUUUUAGGGUGGUCAUCUUUCAUUAUAUACCACCAUAAAAUUCAUUUUUAGCAUUGUUAAAUGAUCC
This is a non-coding RNA of Pelobates cultripes (western spadefoot toad), 340 nucleotides long. The record is from the annotation of a GenBank genome assembly. Lineage: Eukaryota; Metazoa; Chordata; Amphibia; Anura; Pelobatidae.